Molecule: long non-coding RNA, 501 nt
Filed under: Equus caballus (horse)
Lineage: Eukaryota; Metazoa; Chordata; Mammalia; Perissodactyla; Equidae
Description: lncRNA (ENSECAG00000039246.2)
Source: RNAcentral
CAUUGCCCCAUCUGUAAAUGGACUUUCCCUGGGUUAACUCUGUGGUCUCUAGAACUCUGAGUGCGUGUGGUCUGUGGCCAAGUGCAAGGAAGGGGUGCUAAACACCAUGUGACAUGGUAGAUCUGCACACUUAUCCAUUCAAAACUCUUGAGAAAUGACAUGCUAGAGGGCUGGCAUGGACUUCGGAAAGGUGAACAGUGUUUUUCCGAGUUUAUCAGAUGCUGGGCAAUUAACGAGUGUUCCAGAUGUCAGCUGAAGGCCUGAUGAUCUAGAUUAGAUGUCUUGAAUCCCCAUUCUGAAGCCUCCUCCGUGUCUUCAAGGAAUUCCACAGCCCCCGAGGGACCCCAUCACUCCAGGGAUUGUACCAACACACUCUCCUGUCAACUUGCAGAGGGGUUCCCUUUUUCCAGCUGCUUAUCAGACUUGCAAGAUUUUGCCCAUCUGAUCAGCGUGAGAACAAGUCUCCGCUGUUGCCAUGUGUUUCCCUGAUCACCAGCGACG